GCUACGGGGGGAUUUUCUGCCCCUUUUCCCCAAGCUCCAGCUCUGGGAUGGAGCUUCGAGGUCACCCAGGGAGGCGAGCAGGAGCCGGGGGGACACCAAGCGAGCAGGGGACGCUGCGCACAGGGGUGGGUGGAGGGAGGAGAGGGCAGCUCAGCCCUCCCCGAGCCCCGCGUCCCCCCGUCGGCCGGCCUGACAGCGUUUGCUCAUAUUUCAGAGAGACACAGCCAUCCGGAACGGCACUCCCUGCCAGCUGCCUCAUCUGGAGCCAUCCCCAGCUCCCUUCCAACCCGUGCCGCAGACGGGCCCCCCCAGAACAGCCACGGAGCGAGGAACCGAGCUGGGAAAGGCCUGGUGCACCAGCUCGCUCUGUGAGCGUGGUAGGCAGAAGCCACCGCCGCCAAGCGCUGCCCCGAGCGGCGUUGCUCGUGUUACCAUCACAAGCAAAUCACAAGGAGCACGAUCCCCUGGCGAGAAGGGGCCGAAGCCGUCCUUAUCAGGAAGGAUCCGGCACCGGGAAGCGCUUCCCGGAGUUCAUCUGGAGGACAGAUGUACAGCCUCUCGCGUGCGUCCCGCAUCUCGUGCUCGCGCAUCACCACCCAGCCCCAACGAUCUGGGACCAGGCUUCUCCUCCGGCUCCCAACCUCGCUGCCUUCAGCCCUGCUGGGUGAUUUAGGGCUGCCCGCCCCGGCUCUUCCUCCUGUGGAGGAAAGGGAAGAGGAGGACACCCCGCACCAGCCCUGCCUCCACCGAGCCAUCGUCCCCCGACUCCGACCUGCUGCGAAACGCCCCGAGCUGACCAAGUCACCCGAGACUCAGGCAGAGCCACAGCAUUUUAUCUUCUUAAAAGACCAAAAAAAAAAAAAAAAAGCGAGGCCAGACCAGAUUCUGCCCCAGAGCCUGCGUGGCAAAGCAGAAUCUUGCUCCAAGUGUUUAUUUAUAAAGCUGUACGUACAUGUACGUUUGAAUCCUGACAGAAUUAAUUCUGGCAUCCAGCUAAUUCAAAGCAUUCCUCCCCCAUCACACUACUGUUGCAGGCCAGCCCAGCACAGAAGCUGAUUAUAAAAUGCUGCACUAGCCAGGCAUUUCUGCAAAGGCUUGUGCUAUUGAGCAUUCAGUCUUUCCUUGCUUGGCUAUUUCAUUGUUUCGGUGUCGCUCCCUCCUCUCUUGCCCUGUGUUUCCUGGUUACUUUUGUCCCUGCUCUGGAAGCACUGCUGCUCUCAGCCCCAUUUCAGUGUCAGGUUUAAAAAAAUAAAAAAAAAAAUACGUGAAAUUGAAGAGAAGGC
This 1283-nucleotide long non-coding RNA is filed under the name Anas platyrhynchos platyrhynchos (common mallard). Its description in RNAcentral is "lncRNA (ENSAPLG00000028133.1)". The record is from RNAcentral. Lineage: Eukaryota; Metazoa; Chordata; Aves; Anseriformes; Anatidae.